RNAcentral lists this ribosomal RNA (747 nucleotides) under Nannochloropsis oceanica. RNAcentral describes it as "bacterial SSU rRNA". It matches the Rfam family "Bacterial small subunit ribosomal RNA", at positions 87 to 839 of the family's 1533-position model. Lineage: Eukaryota; Eustigmatophyceae; Eustigmatales; Monodopsidaceae. The record is from RNAcentral.
UAAUUUUAGUGGCGGACGGGUGAGUAACACGUGAGAAUUCGCCUUUAGGAGGGGGAUAACGGAUGGAAACAUUCGCUAAAACCCCAUAUGCCCCUGGGUGAAACAGAGGAGAUAAGUAAUACUGACUCUUACCUCUGCCUGAAGAGAAGCUCGCGGCUGAUUAGCUAGUUGGUAGGGUAAAGGCCUACCAAGGCGACGAUCAGUAGCUGGUCUGAGAGGACGAUCAGCCACACUGGAACUGAGACACGGUCCAGACUCCUACGGGAGGCAGCAGUGAGGAAUUUUCUGCAAUGGGCGAAAGCCUGACAGAGCAAUACCGCGUGAGGGAUGAAGACUUACUGAGUUGUAAACCUCGGUACCUUAAGGAAGAAGAUCUGACGGUACUUAAGGUGGAAAGCAUCGGCUAACUCCGUGCCAGCAGCCGCGGUAAGACGGGGGAUGCAAGUGUUAUCCGGAUUUACUGGGCGUAAAGCGUCUGCAGGUGGUUUUCUAAGUCUACUGUUAAAUCUUGAGGCUCAACCUCAAAUCUGCAGUAGAAACCAGAAGACUUGAGUAUAGUAGGGGUAGAGGGAAUUUCCAGUGGAGCGGUGAAAUGCGUAGAUAUUGGAAAGAACACCGAUGGCGAAGGCACUCUACUGGGCUAUUACUGACACUCAGAGACGAAAGCUAGGGGAGCAAAUGGGAUUAGAUACCCCAGUAGUCCUAGCCGUAAACGAUGGAUACCUCGAUGUUGGACGUAUCAACCCC